Molecule: ribosomal RNA, 331 nt
Filed under: Wolbachia endosymbiont of Sitobion avenae
Lineage: Bacteria; Pseudomonadati; Pseudomonadota; Alphaproteobacteria; Rickettsiales; Anaplasmataceae
Description: bacterial SSU rRNA
Rfam family: Bacterial small subunit ribosomal RNA
Source: RNAcentral
CUGUCGUCAGCUCGUGUCGUGAGAUGUUGGGUUAAGUCCCGCAACGAGCGCAACCCUCAUCCUUAGUUACCAUCAGGUAAUGCUGGGGACUUUAAGGAAACUGCCAGUGAUAAACUGGAGGAAGGUGGGGAUGAUGUCAAGUCAUCAUGGCCCUUAUGGAGUGGGCUACACACGUGCUACAAUGGUGGCUACAAUGGGCUGCAAAGUCGCGAGGCUAAGCUAAUCCCUUAAAAGCCAUCUCAGUUCGGAUUGUACUCUGCAACUCGAGUGCAUGAAGUUGGAAUCGCUAGUAAUCGUGGAUCAGCACGCCACAGGUGAAUACGUUACUCGG